Molecule: ribosomal RNA, 86 nt
Filed under: Bacteroidales bacterium
Lineage: Bacteria; Pseudomonadati; Bacteroidota; Bacteroidia; Bacteroidales
Source: RNAcentral
CCUCUUCCCAUCCCGAACAGAGAAGUUAAGCCCGUUAGCGCCGAUGGUACUGCUAUACCAAGUGGGAGAGUAGGUAGCCGCCAACU